RNAcentral lists this ribosomal RNA (506 nucleotides) under uncultured bacterium. Its description in RNAcentral is "partial 16S ribosomal RNA". It matches the Rfam family "Bacterial small subunit ribosomal RNA", at positions 899 to 1397 of the family's 1533-position model. The record is from RNAcentral.
ACUCAAAUGAAUUGACGGGGGCUCACACAAGCGGUGGAGCAUGUGGAUUAAUUCGAAGCAACGCGAAGAACCUUACCUAGGUUUGACAUGCACGGAUGCUCUCGGCGAAAGCUGAGUAGGCUGCCUUCGGGUGAAACGUGCACAGGUGCUGCAUGGCUGUCGUCAGCUCGUGCUGUGAAGUGUCGGGUUAAGUCCCUUAACGAGCGAAACCCUUAUCGCUAGUUGCCAGCGGGUCAAGCCGGGAACUCUAGCGAGACUGCCGGCGUUAAGCCGGAGGAAGGCGGGGAUGACGUCAAGUCCUCAUGGCCUUUAUGCCUAGGGUGUCACACGUGCUACAAUGGCCGGGACAGAGCGACGCGAGACCGUGAGGUGGAGCAAAUCGCAGAAAACCGGCCCAAGUUCGGAUUGGAGUCUGCAACUCGACUCCAUGAAGUUGGAAUCGCUAGUAAUCGCGAAUCAGCCAUGUCGCGGUGAAUGUGUUCCUGAGCCUUGUACACACCGCCCGU